Molecule: transfer RNA, 82 nt
Filed under: Nematostella vectensis (starlet sea anemone)
Lineage: Eukaryota; Metazoa; Cnidaria; Anthozoa; Actiniaria; Edwardsiidae
Rfam family: tRNA
About the family: Transfer RNA (tRNA) molecules are approximately 80 nucleotides in length. Their secondary structure includes four short double-helical elements and three loops (D, anti-codon, and T loops).
Source: Rfam by way of RNAcentral
GUUGCGGUGGCCGAGUGGUUAAGGCGUUGGACUAGAAAUCCAAUGGGAUCUUCCCGCGCAGGUUCGAAUCCUUCCCGCAACG